This 253-nucleotide ribosomal RNA is filed under the name uncultured bacterium. Its description in RNAcentral is "partial 16S ribosomal RNA". It matches the Rfam family "Bacterial small subunit ribosomal RNA", at positions 524 to 776 of the family's 1533-position model. The record is from RNAcentral.
UACGAAGGGGGCUAGCGUUGCUCGGAAUUACUGGGCGUAAAGGGCGCGUAGGCGGACAUUUAAGUUAGAGGUGAAAGCCCAGGGCUCAACCCUGGAAUAGCCUUUAAUACUGGAUGUCUUGAGUUCGGGAGAGGUGAGUGGAAUGCCGAGUGUAGAGGUGAAAUUCGUAGAUAUUCGGCGGAACACCAGUGGCGAAGGCGGCUCACUGGCUCAUUUCUGACGCUCAGGCGCGACAGCGUGGGGAUCAAACAGG